AGUGAACGCUGGCGGUAGGCCUAACACAUGCAAGUCGAACGGCAGCACAGUAAGAGCUUGCUCUUACGGGUGGCGAGUGGCGGACGGGUGAGGAAUACAUCGGAAUCUACUUUUUCGUGGGGGAUAACGUAGGGAAACUUACGCUAAUACCGCAUACGACCUACGGGUGAAAGCAGGGGAUCUUCGGACCUUGCGCGAUUGAAUGAGCCGAUGUCGGAUUAGCUAGUUGGCGGGGUAAAGGCCCACCAAGGCGACGAUCCGUAGCUGGUCUGAGAGGAUGAUCAGCCACACUGGAACUGAGACACGGUCCAGACUCCCACGGGAGGCAGCAGUGGGGAAUAUUGGACCAUGGGCGCAAGCCUGAUCCAGCCAUACCGCGUGGGUGAAGAAGGCCUUCGGGUUGUAAAGCCCUUUUGUUGGGAAAGAAAAGCAGCAGGUUAAUACCCCGCUGUUCUGACGGUACCCAAAGAAUAAGCACCGGCUAACUUCGUG
This 492-nucleotide ribosomal RNA is filed under the name uncultured bacterium. Its description in RNAcentral is "partial 16S ribosomal RNA". It matches the Rfam family "Bacterial small subunit ribosomal RNA", at positions 29 to 507 of the family's 1533-position model. The record is from RNAcentral.